ACGCAAUUCAUUGACCUGCUUUCUUGCAUAUGUGAGCAGUUAUUUCCUACAUGCUACACAAAUAGGUGAAGGUUAAUCAGCAGUAUAACUAUAAACAGUAACGCUGCCAGUCUCCUUCAGACAAAA
Small nucleolar RNA from Lemur catta (Ring-tailed lemur), 126 nucleotides. The record is from RefSeq and is a predicted model, not a curated record. NCBI's taxonomy places the organism in Eukaryota, Metazoa, Chordata, Mammalia, Primates, Lemuridae.